This 460-nucleotide ribosomal RNA is filed under the name uncultured bacterium. Its description in RNAcentral is "partial 16S ribosomal RNA". It matches the Rfam family "Bacterial small subunit ribosomal RNA", at positions 338 to 795 of the family's 1533-position model. The record is from RNAcentral.
CCUACGGGAGGCAGCAGUGAGGAAUAUUGGUCAAUGGGCGCGAGCCUGAACCAGCCAAGUAGCGUGAAGGAUGACUGCCCUACGGGUUGUAAACUUCUUUUAUAAAGGAAUAAAGUGAGGCACGUGUACCUUUUUGAAUGUACUUUAUGAAUAAGGAUCGGCUAACUCCGUGCCAGCAGCCGCGGUAAUACGGAGGAUCCGAGCGUUAUCCGGAUUUAUUGGGUUUAAAGGGAGCGUAGAUGGGUUGUUAAGUCAGUUGUGAAAGUUUGCGGCUCAACCGUGAAAUUGCAAUUGAUACUGGCAGUCUUGAGUACAGUUGAGGUAGGCGGAAUGCGUGGUGUAGCGGUGAAAUGCUUAGAUAGCACGAAGAACUCCGAUUGCGAAGGCAGCUUACUAAACUGCCACUGACAUUGAGGCUCGAAAGUGUGGGUAUCAAACAGGAUUAGAUACCCGGGUAGUC